Athalia rosae (coleseed sawfly) is the source of this 4468-nucleotide long non-coding RNA. RefSeq lists it as uncharacterized. The transcript has 2 exons. NCBI's taxonomy places the organism in Eukaryota, Metazoa, Arthropoda, Insecta, Hymenoptera, Athaliidae. The record is from RefSeq and is a predicted model, not a curated record.
UAUUGACACGACUACCGCGUCAUUUUGUCAUGGAAAAUUUGUGUUACGAGCAGUUACGUGAAUAGCGAUCCUAGGAUCGUUGACGUUUUAUCGUACCUAUUCUCGUUAUCCUUUACAAGAGGAUCAUGGGGUCAGAACUCUUCGAGAGUAUCUUGGGUAUAAGUUACGGGGAGGGGUUACGAUAUUAUUGAAGCGUCAUAGAAAUUCCCCGGGCGCCAUCGUGAAGGAUUAUCACAGAAUACGGAAGGUGAGUGCGCGAGGGCGAAAUCCAGAUUGAAAAAUUUUCCGUUACUUAAACUAACUCCGUUGAAGAUUCUGAAAAAAGAACAUUUCUUUUGUUAUUCCACCGUCUCUUCUCUUGGCUGUGACGCUUUUUUCAACGGCGGGAAUCCGCGACCCUCUCGAUGGAUGAAAUAGCUGCAGGUGCAGCGAAAUUACCGCGUGUAUCGAUUCCCACCUUAUCCCCUCGGGCUCUCACUAUCGCUUCUGGUCUCAGAGAUGAGAAACCGAUCAUCAUUUCCCGAGGAUUAAAGUUUAAAGAGGGGACGGAGUUACACCGCGGAAUGAGAAUAGACCCUAUCCUCCUGCGGAAAAAUCUCUCUUGAAAAUACUGCAGAAUCCUAUUAUCGCUUUUUCAUCCCGAACUACACCCUUGUUCUUAGUUGUAGACGUAUUCACAAUUCAUCUGUUCUCGCGUUGUGCUUUUUCUUCUUUUUCGUUUUUUCUUUUUUCUACGCUCAAUUUCUGCAUACUAUUUCCCCCCCUUUCCUCGCAAGUCCUUGACUAUCGAAUAUGCGCGUCCGAUCUCCCGACACUCCCUGUGGUGUAAUACGCACCAACCGGUAAAGCUCCACUACAAUUUCGGAAUUUACUCUACCUGAACGGGUUGUUUGCCGAUCGAUGCGAAGAGCUACGUAAUUUGCAAGAUUAAAGGAUACACAAUGUACGCCACGUUUCGGUGGAGCUCUAGCUCUACACUCUUUCCGAAGACCGAACACCGGUGGAAUAUAGUAUAUUCUGCGCAGGACACGUGCGGCGGUUGAACACAGAAUAAGACGACGAAGCGAUAUAGGUAUAGGAGGGCGGAAUGCGGCGACGCCUACCCAAGAGCCUUAUAAGAUGAAGAUAUAAGAGUCAGGGGUUGAAAUGCUUCGGGAUACGGAUGAACAUGCUCGCGGUCUAUUCGAGCCUUCUCGGUAUGCGUUACGUAGGUGCGAGGUUUCCGCCACUGACUUCGGUACAUAUAAAAUUUAAUUUCUUAUACGUCGAUGAUUCUUCAUCUCUCGCGUUUUCCGGUGCAGCUAGCGGCAGCUACGCGAACGCGAAGGCUGGAGGCGUACGUAGUAAUUCUUCCACUCCCAAGAAAUGCUUGUUAACGAGUGAUUUAUAGAUACCAGCAUGACAGCCCGGUGGCCGUCAAGAAGCGAGCGAACGUGGCUUUGCUUAGCGGUUCAACCUGCCCCAGCUAGGUAUAAGGUAUCAACCUACCCAUAUAAUAUCCAUGUGCCUUUUACCUAUCCGCGUUAUUCUCAUUAGCGACGUACGUGUGUCUUUUUUAGAGUUUUUUGCACUUUUCGCUUGACCCCUCGUAGUCGCGGUUACCCUACCUUACUUCUCGUAUAGCGGCUAAUUGCCCGCACACGGUAGACUUAUCUCGUCUGAAGAUGGGGGUGGAGUCGCCGCCGCUGCCGGGGGCUUUGCGUCUUUUCUGAUGGCUGCCGUCGUUGCCGCUUGUGCAGCGGGGUGCCUUCCAACUUCUCCUAUCUCCGCGCAACCCCCAGCCGACGCGAUAUAGGUACAGGUAUACGCAGCUCCGCGGAAAAACCACCACCGAAGGUUUUAAGCGCUGCGGCUUAGCGCCUCUCAAAGACGACGCGCGCUGCUUUGUCUUUAUUCUUCUCGGUCUCAUCGUCGCCCGACGUUCCGCCGUGACGCGGAAAACGCUCUUUCAGAACUUCAUACCCCGCUGCUGCUGCUGCUGCUGCUGCACCGCAAGCUCCUUGAAUUAAAGUCGAAUUUUUUAUCUUCAUUUCACUCUCUCUCUCUCUUACUCUAUUCCUUUUUGCUCUUAUCAUUUUUUUCUCUCAAUACUCCGCACCGCGGGACCCGCGGGCUGUGCACUUCUGAAGGCACCGCAGCAUCAGUUUCACCACACACUUAAUCUCUGGAACUACGUGCGUAUAUGAGCGAGAAGAAAGUAACGCCGCGCGCGGAAACGCGACGCUACAUCCCAUUUGGAUUUGUUCAACCGAAUCGCCUUUAUAUAUAUACAGCUUAAUAUCAUCUACAUCUUUACCUUCGUACGUGUCAACUCUACGCUCUAUUUUCCAUGUGUUUCCAUCAAGCUUUUUAGCUCGUCGAGAAUUUAUUUUUGGGUGAUCGAAGCCACGAGUCUCCUCGGUGCCAAUUCGUGAUACCUAAGAACUCGGUACGCUGUAGCGGCGAACGUUACUGAGGCAGUUUAUGCUCCGUCUUGGAAGAGAUCGGUACAUAUAAGCAGACUUUCGAACCAGGUUCUCGGUACUACCGAAGCAGGAGAGGGCGAAUUCCGCGGUUUACAGUCGUCAGAUCGGUGGUAGGUUUUACUUUGCCGAGGAAGGUGAUGCUGUCCGUUUCAGCUUCGGGCGUAUCGUGUAGAUAUAUACGAUCAUAAAUAGAGGGAAAAGGAAUAGGGCAGACUCGGAGAAUUCGUAUUCCAUCUCGUCGCGAGUACCACAUGCUGAAAAUCGAUUCGCGGAAAAAUAAUAAAUAAUAAUCCGCGGCUACGAGGGCAACUUCAAAUCUGGCAAAGACUGAAGAUAGAUGAAAAAGAGUCAAGGUCGUCUUUCGUAAAAUGGCAAGAGUAACCGCGGUGCACCUGUGAAAAAUGCAAUGUCCUCGGUUUAAGAGAACAUCUUCUCGUUGCGCUGCUCCAGAUUUCCUAUUCUAGAUAACCGCGCGCGCGCCCGCAGAAGUGCGGCGGAGAUUUUUCGCCCAUAAUGCAAACUACCACCAGUUCAACUUCCACCAAAGACUAAUAAUAUGCGGCGCACGAUGCACGAGCAUACUAGAAUAGGCAGGGCGCGUCAAAAGAGCUUCGUGCCCCGCAUACCUAGAACUGAACUUGGCGGUUUUGAAUGGACCCACCUACUCGUUGCUGCGGCAGCGGAUGAUUCUGCAUAGGCCGACUCGUCGUGCAAUUACGUAAAAGGCUUCAGGAACGCCUCUCGGGCCUUCCGCCAUUUCACUCACACACUGUAGGCGCAUUACCUGCACAGCUUAUUCAGCUAGGACACUCAUACCUCGACGACAACGACGACGAAGUAUAACAACCCCCGUCACGGACGGCCUACCUGCUGGACCCCUGCACAUAUUGAGGUCACUCGGGGUCAGAAAUGGGGUUCGAGUCAAGACGUUACUCUCUUGCUUCCUGAAAGAUCAAAGUUCCAGACAGCAGCUAUUCGGAUUCCCUUCGGUCACGUCGUUUCACUCUUUCAUAGUAUGCUGUUGAAAUAAAAUAACCACGAGGAGUCGAGCUUGAUCAAUGGUCGGAGCUAAUGCACACGCCGACUAUAAGAUGAUAGAAAAAAAACAAAAUAAUAAUAUCAAUAAAAGAAAGUUGACCCUCGGCAGAUGCUCGUCGGAUACACCGGCGGGAAACCCAACCCUAAUGCGAUAGAGGACAUUGAUUGUAGUGCCCCGAUCAACCCGAUCCCUCACUCGUUUGCUUCAGGUACGACCCUUUUCUGCUCUCCGACCGCGACAUCCGGCGAAACUCGACACUCAUUUUCAUGGAUUACACGGGAUAACGAUGAGGCAUAAUGUGUACAGUUAUAUUCCGUGAGUUACGAGACCGAGUCCUCGGUGCAAUCCAGGUUAUAGACAAGUUGGCACGAGGUCAACGCGACGUUGCUACGGCCGUCGCGGAGGGCGAGAAAACAGUUCAAAUUGGAAGACGCCAUAUGCCAUUGGAUAUACCUAUAGAGUUUCUUGUGUCAAGUGUCUAGCUGCAGGGUAUUCUGCUGAUGAUGCUGCAGGGGUGCCAAGCGUUUUCAGAACUCUUCUUUCUAUACGAUGAAUAGAAUCCAAGAACAAAAACGAACGAUCAUUUCUUAAGCAACCACUUACACAAUGACGCCAGAAUACAGCGUAUAACUCUCUAUAUACCUAUGUAUAAUUAUUAUUAUACCAAGAUGGAAAUCUACUCUAUAAAAAGCAGUUUUGUUAUUAAUACACCGCUGCACACUUGAACCUAAAUUUUUUUCUUCUAUUUACGUGACAAUUUACUCGCAUACAUGAAAAUGCAAUAAAAUAUGAGGAAGAAAUAAUUAGAAUUUUAUUUUUGUAACGAAUUUUUUUUUAACAACAGAAAAUGGCUGGGAUAUUUACAGAUUAGAGGGACGGUGUAAUAUUAACUGUACGAGUAUAACAUAGUUUAGAAAUCAUCUCAAGCAAUCGUACUUAUGGGCGGGGACCACAAGUUGGUACC